Molecule: non-coding RNA, 1159 nt
Organism: Agelaius phoeniceus (red-winged blackbird)
Lineage: Eukaryota; Metazoa; Chordata; Aves; Passeriformes; Icteridae
Source: RefSeq, a predicted model, not a curated record
GCUGCUCUGAACAGGCAGGUGGAGACACCUCAGCCCGGACAGACGCCACCGACAGCCCAGAAGGACCCCAAGGAGCAGCUGGCAUUGCCUGGGAUGGAGGCACGGGCCGUUUGUAGGGGGCCUCAGACAGCAGUUCCCAUUUCCGAUCUCCCAGAGCUCCCACACAGCUGCCAGAUAUUGAAUCCCAAGCAAUAUACCUUGGAGAUGCCUUAAAAUCAGAGGUUUGAGCAGGAUGAAGUUUGGAACUUUCCAGGGAGCCAGCUGGAAGUGCAGAAGUGGUGGAAAACUUUCACAGUGAGAAGAACAGGAACUCACAGCCACUGAGGCCUGACAGGUUCCUGCAGCGAGGGCUCAGCGCACGUCCACAGAGGAGCAUGGGAUGGGAACCCCCCUCCUCCUCAGCAGCCUGGGGAGCUGAACUGAGAAGAGGAACUCCCACCACCAGAAGCUCAUCAAUGCUGCUCCAGCCCCUCGUGGACACAGCUCCUGCUGGAAUAGCAAUGAUAACACGACUGGUUCUCAUGAAGCAGCAGUUCUUGUUCUCAGGAGCACAUUUACAGGAGGAGACAGCUGUACCCUGACCAGGAUUAGAGGGCCCUGCUGCCAGCCAGCUGGAGGAGAAGGAGAAUUGGAUCUCCUGGGCUGUGUGGGUCCAUGGCCUGGCACGUCUGACCCACAGAGGGACAGCUGUGGUGCACACUGGCCCUCAGUGUCCCCUGAUGCCACCAAGGGGCGUGGGAGUGGAUCCCAUUUCCAUUUCUGGGCUCACAGGAGGACCCCAGCAGCUGCAGGGAAUUACCUGGGAAGGAGUGGCACAAACAGCCCGUGGUGGCUGGCCCAGAGGCUCUGCAGCCCCAGCACAGACCGGCUCAGCAGUGAGUGCUGCAGAGACCCAAAGGACAGCGCUGGGCUUUUGGCAUUGCUGCUGCACAGACAGGAGCCAUCAGAGAGCUGAGUGCCCUGCCUGGUCCCUCGGAUCAGCCUCUGCUGUGGGACUGCUGGGGGCUGAAGAACAGCAGGUACCAAUCCCCACAGCAGCCCUGCACCAUCAGCAACUCCUCAUCAUAACACAAACUGGCUCUAGAACAGCCCAACAAAGGCAAAGUGCUUUGGUUUCUUUCCUCCCCUUAAUUAAACCAAAAUAAAGCCCUAAAUAAGA